GGAUAUUUUCCUUGGUUGACAAUUGGCUAUGGAUUUGGUCUUUUCCUCACAUACCUAGGUUUAUAUCUAAUGGAUGGGCAUGGUCAACCUGCACUCCUCUAUCUUGUUCCAUGUACCCUAGGUGUUUGUGUGAUAUUGGGUCUGGUGAGAGGAGAGAUAAAAGAACUCUGGAGCUUUGGUGCUGAAACUUCCUCAUCAUCUGGAGAUGCUCCUGGGGAAGCUUGAAGCUGUAAAUCAGUGACUUCUUAGAAAAGU
RNAcentral lists this unclassified non-coding RNA (255 nucleotides) under Hevea brasiliensis (rubber tree). Lineage: Eukaryota; Viridiplantae; Streptophyta; Magnoliopsida; Malpighiales; Euphorbiaceae. The record is from RNAcentral.